This 826-nucleotide ribosomal RNA is filed under the name Zalerion sp. RNAcentral's name for it is "partial 28S ribosomal RNA". It matches the Rfam family "Eukaryotic large subunit ribosomal RNA", at positions 83 to 938 of the family's 3401-position model. The record is from RNAcentral. Lineage: Eukaryota; Fungi; Ascomycota; Sordariomycetes; Lulworthiales; Lulworthiaceae.
GUAACGGCGAGUGAAGCGGCAACAGCUCAAAUUUGAAAUCUGGCCUCGGCCCGAGUUGUAAUUUGCAGAGGAUGCUUCCGGCGACGUGCCUUCCGAGUCCCCUGGAACGGGGCGCCUGAGAGGGUGAGAGCCCCGUACGGUUGGACGCCGAGCCUGUGUGAAGCUCCUUCGACGAGUCGAGUAGUUUGGGAAUGCUGCUCUAAAUGGGAGGUAAAUUCCUUCUAAAGCUAAAUACCGGCCAGAGACCGAUAGCGCACAAGUAGAGUGAUCGAAAGAUGAAAAGCACUUUGGAAAGAGGGUUAAACAGUACGUGAAAUUGCUGAAAGGGAAGCGCUCGCGACCAGACUCGCGCCGGGCGGAUCAUCCAGCGUUCUCGCUGGUGCACUUCGCCCGGCCCGGGCCAGCAUCGGUUCUAGCGGGGGGACAAAAGCCCGGGAAACGUAGCUCCCUCCGGGGAGUGUUAUAGUCCCUUGCCUAAUAUCCCCGCCGGGACCGAGGACCGCGCCUCGUGCAAGGAUGCUGGCGUAAUGGUCGCCAGCGACCCGUCUUGAAACACGGACCAAGGAGUCGAACAUUCGUGCGAGUGUUUGGGUGGAAACCCCUCACGCGUAAUGAAAGUGAACGGAGGUGGGAGCCUCGGCGCACCAUCGACCGAUCCUGAAGCUUGUCGGAUGGAUUUGAGUGGGAGCAUGACUGUUCGGACCCGAAAGAUGGUGAACUAUGCCUGCGUAGGGUGAAGCCAGAGGAAACUCUGGUGGAGGCUCGCAGCGGUUCUGACGUGCAAAUCGAUCGUCAAACGUGGGCAUGGGGGCGAAAGACUAAUCGA